Molecule: ribosomal RNA, 253 nt
Filed under: uncultured bacterium
Lineage: Bacteria
Description: partial 16S ribosomal RNA
Rfam family: Bacterial small subunit ribosomal RNA
Source: RNAcentral
UACGGGGGGGGCUAGCGUUGCUCGGAAUCACUGGGCGUAAAGCGCACGUAGGCGGAUUGUUAAGUCAGGGGUGAAAUCCUGGAGCUCAACUCCAGAACUGCCUUUGAUACUGGCGAUCUUGAGUCCGGGAGAGGUGAGUGGAACUGCGAGUGUAGAGGUGAAAUUCGUAGAUAUUCGCAAGAACACCAGUGGCGAAGGCGGCUCACUGGCCCGGUACUGACGCUGAGGUGCGAAAGCGUGGGGAGCAAACAGG